RNAcentral lists this ribosomal RNA (226 nucleotides) under uncultured marine group I thaumarchaeote. RNAcentral's name for it is "partial 16S ribosomal RNA". It matches the Rfam family "Archaeal small subunit ribosomal RNA", at positions 484 to 711 of the family's 1478-position model. The record is from RNAcentral. Lineage: Archaea; Thermoproteati; Nitrososphaerota.
UCAAGUGGUCAGGAUGAUUAUUGGGCCUAAAGCAUCCGUAGCCGGCUCUGUAAGUUUUCGGUUAAAUCCGUACGCUCAACGUACAGGCUGUCGGGAAUACUGCAGAGCUAGGGAGUGGGAGAGGUAGACGGUACUCGAUAGGAAGGGGUAAAAUCCUUUGAUCUAUUGAUGACCACCUGUGGCGAAGGCGGUCUACCAGAACACGUCCGACGGUGAGGGAGAAAGC